RNAcentral lists this ribosomal RNA (429 nucleotides) under Chloroflexota bacterium. RNAcentral describes it as "Chloroflexi bacterium partial 16S ribosomal RNA". It matches the Rfam family "Bacterial small subunit ribosomal RNA", at positions 355 to 776 of the family's 1533-position model. Lineage: Bacteria; Bacillati; Chloroflexota. The record is from RNAcentral.
UGGGGAAUAUUGCACAAUGGGCGCAAGCCUGAUGCAGCCAUGCCGCGUGUAUGAAGAAGGCCUUCGGGUUGUAAAGCACUUUCAGCGGGGAGGAAGGCGUUAAGGUUAAUAACCUUGGCGAUUGACGUUACCCGCAGAAGAAGCACCGGCUAACUCCGUGCCAGCAGCCGCGGUAAUACGGAGGGUGCAAGCGUUAAUCGGAAUUACUGGGCGUAAAGCGCACGCAGGCGGUCUGUCAAGUCAGAUGUGAAAUCCCCGGGCUUAACCCGGGAAUUGCAUCUGAUACUGGUCAGCUAGAGUCUUGUAGAGGGGGGUAGAAUUCCAUGUGUAGCGGUGAAAUGCGUAGAGAUGUGGAGGAAUACCGGUGGCGAAGGCGGCCCCCUGGACAAAGACUGACGCUCAGGUGCGAAAGCGUGGGGAGCAAACAGG